UACGUAGGUGGCAAGCGUUGUCCGGAUUUACUGGGCGUAAAGAGCGCGCAGGCGGUCGUUCAAGUCGCGUGUGAAAGCCCCCGGCUCAACUGGGGAGGGUCACGCGAUACUGAUCGACUCGAAGGCAGGAGAGGGUAGUGGAAUUCCCGGUGUAGUGGUGAAAUGCGUAGAUAUCGGGAGGAACACCAGUGGCGAAGGCGGGUUGCUGGGCUGAUACUGACGCUGAGGCGCGAAAGCCAGGGGAGCGAACGGG
This 253-nucleotide ribosomal RNA is filed under the name uncultured bacterium. Its description in RNAcentral is "partial 16S ribosomal RNA". It matches the Rfam family "Bacterial small subunit ribosomal RNA", at positions 524 to 776 of the family's 1533-position model. The record is from RNAcentral.